CCUCUCUCUCUCUAGGUAGCAUUGAAGGACUGUAAGAGGACCCCCACUAAAGUCUCUUCUAUGGAUUUGUUACUAACUCCAGAGACCAGAGCAGACCUCUUACGAUAUUCCUGUCAGCUCUCACUGGACCCAAACAAAGCACAGAGAGAGCUCUCUCUGUCUGAGGAGAACAGGGAAGUGACGUGUUCAAGUGGGGCAAAGGUGCCAUGUUCUGACCAUCCAGACAGAUUCACCUUCUUCAACCAGGUGCUGUGUAGAGAGGCUCUGUUUGGGCGCUGUUACUGGGAGGUGGAAUGGAGAGGUGGCAAGGUUUUUAUAGGACAUCAUUAAGACAUCAGCAGAACAGAUACUUUUCUUGGUAACGAUGACAAGUCCUGGAGUAUACAAUGCUAUAAUGAACGUUAUUAUUUCAAUCAUAACCAUCUUAUAACUUUAGUAGCAGGCCCUCAGUCCUCCAGAGUAGGAGUGUACCUGGAUCACAAGGCAGGUACUCUGUCCUUCUACAGUGUCGUCUCUGACACAGUGACCCUCCUCCACAGAGUCCAGACCACCUUCACCCAGCCACUCUACCCUGGGAUUUACCUCGGUCGGUAUGGUGACAGUGCAGAGAUUAUUAAACUGUGGUAGAGGAUCUCAUGCAUGAGUCUAUCCACUUUUGAACAGUCAAUUUCCCAACUCAUCAACGUUUUGACGUGCUCCCUGUGUCAGGGUGAGGGCAGCAGGGUGGACCCAAGCGCAGAGACACAAGCUGGCAAGGCAGGAUCACCAAAACAAAAGGUAUUUAAGUUCCAAAAACGGGUACACGGUGGGAAAAGUCACACAUAACACAACAAGGAACCGACAAGGACUGCCAAGAGGAGCACACAGGGACAAUAGCUGAGUGAAGGGAACAGACAGGAGGUCCAUGGGAGCCAGAGAGAGAGAGACAAGACAAGAACCAGAACACACCCAGGGAGACCGACAGAAAACACCAGGCCAGGGAAAACAUGAACUUGACCCUUGUGCUCCUUUCGGAUCAUUGUGACCCACAGUCGUGGUGCAAAAGGUGGGUCACAAUGACCCGAAGGCAGCACAAGGGUUAAGCAGGGGCAUGGCCGUGUGCGUGACAACCUGUUUUGUUGACAUCGUCUCCUCGUGUUUGGUCCUGCCUGUCAGGAAUCACACCCCUCCAGUAGAACCGGAGAGGUAGGGACUUUACUACUGUUGAAUAAUCCCUGACAAUUACACCACGUCAAGACAUCUUAUGCACAUUUCAAAUGCAUUCAAAAGAGACAAAAUGGGCAAGCGUUAGGCCUCCAGGUAAAUCUGUUCCCCCUGUGUCCUCAGUGUAAGAGACUAGUUUAAACGUGUUAUAAUGAUGACUGUAAAUAUACCACCGGCAACACUGUACUGCUUAGAGGAUCAUAUUGUUUUAGAUUUGGAACUGUCAGUUUCCCACAUCGAUGUUGAGACAUCCCUGUUAAAGUCGUCCCCUCAUGUGCGAUCCUGCAUCUCAGGAAUCCCAUCCCUCAAAUCAAGACCUGUGGCGUGUUUACUGUACUGUUGUUGAAGUGAAAUGCCUUCCUCAGGCCUCCAGCUAAAUCGGUCCCCCUUGUGUCCCCAGUAAGAGACAGAUUUAUAACCAUCACCUGCAUCACUGUAGUGCUUUAUACAUUAUCACACUGUAAUAUAUGGAGGGGGGGGGGGGGGAUAACCUGGAUUACAAGGCAGGUACUCUGUCCUUCUACAGUGUCCUCUCUGACACAGUGCCCCUCCUCCAGGGUCCAGACCACCUUCACCCAGACACUCUGUCCUGGGAUUUAUCUUGGUCAGUCAGGCGUCAGCGCUGAGAUGAUUAAGAUGUUAUAGAGGAUCUUAUACAAUUAUCUUUUAGAUUUGGAACUGCCAGUUUCCCACAUCAAUUGCCUCCAAUUUCGUUGUACAGUAUAGGCUACAAUGACAAGUAAAGAUAUUCUGUCGAUGUUCAGACAUGCUCCCUGUUAAAGUCGUCCCCUCAUGUUUGAUCCUGCGUCUCAGGAAUCACAUCCCUCAAGUCAAGACCUGUGGGUGUUUACUGUACUAUUUUGGAAGUGAAAUCCCUGCCAUAAAACUUGCUAAAUGCAAAUGUCUUAUGUUUUCAAAAGAGUUAGGUGUGGGCGUAUUGUGGCAGCCCCAGGGAUCCGAAGCCGCCUCGCGGCGAGUUUGGGCGCCGUCACUUUAAGAAAUCUCUCAAUUCCCGCUCUGCACGGCUGCAACCCAUUUGAAUGUUGUUAUUUGUUCAUUAUAAGCACGUGCUUUUGACCCUCUUUUGGUCGCGAGUCUCCGGAAUUGUGUGCGUCUUAGCCUUGGUUUUGUCUGUGGCUUGCAACAGUAUUGGGGAUACAAAAUAAAGUAUGUGUUAAC
Molecule: long non-coding RNA, 2382 nt
Organism: Osmerus eperlanus (European smelt)
Lineage: Eukaryota; Metazoa; Chordata; Actinopteri; Osmeriformes; Osmeridae
Exons: 3
Source: RefSeq, a predicted model, not a curated record